AGUCUCCCUUUCCUAACCCUCACGGAAGUUUCCCACAGCCUGCAGCAGUCCUUCUUGUAGCCAGCCAAUCUCGCCCAGCUCCACUCCACCAGCAGCCCGUCAGGAGGAGCCUGGGCCAUCUCCGGCAGUGACCAGACUGUGUCCUGAGACCUUCAGCCUCCUCCUUCUCCCACUCUCUGUUUCUCCAACUGGCUGUUCCCUGCCUCCCUCCCGGCCCAGCCUCCCAUGGCCCUGUGGACCUGACACGUGGACUCGCCCUCCUGGGCAUGGCCCCGUGCUCACCUCCCGGCUCACCGUCUGCACCUGCCCCUCAGCCUUCGCCAGCCCCCUGCCUCUCAGGGGAGGCACCGCGUCCUGACGCAGCCCCGCUUCCUGCCCGCUCUUCGCCCCAGCAUGGAGCAAGCCCACGGUUGCUUUACCGGAACUUUUCAGCCACCCUGCAAAGACGAAGUGUGUCUGAGGCUGUGGUUUAAAACCGGGUUGGGGGCCCAGAGCAGCUGCGCAGGAAGCGAGGCUGCUUUUCCAUGAGUUCCCUGGCCAGAGCGUGGUUUCACCUCGGCCCCUUCCUCCCAGGCCUCCAGGGCUACAGCGAGGUUCUUGUUUUGCUGGACCUGUGACACCUGAACACCAAGGGCAUCCACACACGACCAGCGAAGUCCCUUCUCCCUCUGAAGCGCGUGGCAUUAGGGCUCAAGGUCUGGCCCUUCCGAACAAGAAGUGACCUCAGAAGACCCCCUAGGUUCUUGCUACUCAAAGUUGGUCAGAAGACUGGCAGGAGGAAUAGCAUCACCUGGGAGCCUGUUAGAAAUGCAGGCUCUCUGGCCCCGCCCCGGACCUCCUGAAGCAGAUGCCUCCUAACCGCAUGCUCAGACGACGACGUGCUUGGGAAGCACUGCUCCCCUCCAGCCUUCUGGUUUACUGCCGAGGAAACAGAGGGUCAGGCACUGCUCUGAGUCACAAAGCAUGUUUGCACAAGAGCUGGAUCCAGAAGCCGGGCUCUGGGGCUCCCAGACAGCUGCCUUUAGCCAGAAGCCUUUGGUUAAGAUGACCUGAGGCAGAAUGCGGAUGAGCUUCCUAAGUAAGGAGGAAAGUUCUGUCUUCUCUCCUGAAAGCCGCCUGGAGGAAAACAAUGCUCCUCCCUGAUGUCGUUCAGCCUGUGGUUUGGGUACAGGUAAGAAGACGGCCCGUCCAAUAGACAGACAUAGACAGUGCCCCCUCUUCCCGGGAAGGUUGGGCAGCAACAUCACAGCAGCUGGACCGUUUUCAAGAUGACUGCUUCCUCUCAGACCUCUUUGUGCCUCAGUUUCCUCACCUGGAAAAGGCACUCUUCCCUGACAAGCAUGUCUUGAGCACCUGCCACGUGCCAGACCUGGUGCCAGGCCCUUGGUAAAGAUUCACAGGUGCUUACAGCCUGGGAGUCAUGCAUGUCACAAGACACAGGAAGGCCACGCACUGUCUGCGAAGGAUUCAAGGAAAAGUCGGGGCAGCGGAGGGACUGCACCCAGAAAAAACGCAGAGAAUCACAAGCCACCACUGUUGGAAACAUCUAUUGGACCCCAUUUGCGAAAGCCGAUCUCUGGAGUCUUAUUAAUUCUCUUUCCGACGAAACCAAACUGCUUAUUCCAUGAACCCCUAUCAGUUGGAGAACGGUAGGCUGAAAGGGGCAUCAGAUUAGAAGUCUCCUGGUCCAUCUUCAUUUCCCAGAAGGGGAACUGAGACCCACAGACGGACAGAGACCUCCCUGGGGACACACAGUGUUAGUGAUAGCAGCAGAAAUCUCCACUCCUUUUCUGAUACACUUUCUAUCUCACAUCCUUCUUCACUCCCUUCCAUGAUGUCACAAUUGAACCAAUAUUGACAAGUGUCCUCCAUCAGCGGGACGAGGGUGAUUGAGACAUGGUCACAGUUAGAUCCCACUCUGGGGAAGCUCACAGAUUAGCACGGGCUCAGCCAAAAGAAGUUCAGCUUAUUUAAAAGCCACGCUAGAAGGAUGAGAGGCGGCCCCCAGUGUGGGGGGCGGGGCUGCAGUGGGCGGGGCCAUUCUAGGGGUUC
Molecule: long non-coding RNA, 2052 nt
Filed under: Equus asinus (donkey)
Lineage: Eukaryota; Metazoa; Chordata; Mammalia; Perissodactyla; Equidae
Description: lncRNA (ENSEASG00005030477.1)
Source: RNAcentral